RNAcentral lists this unclassified non-coding RNA (210 nucleotides) under Hevea brasiliensis (rubber tree). The record is from RNAcentral. Lineage: Eukaryota; Viridiplantae; Streptophyta; Magnoliopsida; Malpighiales; Euphorbiaceae.
AUCCAUUUCACGUGCAAACACAUCAAAAUAUUAUAUCAAAUAGAGGAAAAUAUCUUUAAAAAUAAAUUAAUCAUAUCCUUGAUUAUCAUUUUGAUAAAUUAAGGAUAACAAUAGCAAUGUACUUCUAUGCAUGAAGAAAACAUGCUUUGAUACAUUACAUCCCAAGGACAUGCACACUUGUGUAUUGUCCAAAAGGUCAUUCUAAUAACG